Molecule: ribosomal RNA, 214 nt
Filed under: uncultured bacterium
Lineage: Bacteria
Description: partial 16S ribosomal RNA
Rfam family: Bacterial small subunit ribosomal RNA
Source: RNAcentral
UACAGGGGGUGCAAACGUUGCUCGGAAUCAUUGGGCGUAAAGCGCACGUAGGCGGUCUGUUAUGUCGGAUGUGAAAGCCCACGGCUCAACCGUGGAAGUGCAUCCGAAACUGCAUGGCUUGAGUCUCGGAGAGGAAGGUGGAAUGCUUGGUGUAGAGGUGAAAUUCGUAGAUAUCAAGCAGAACACCUGCGGCGAAGGCGGCCUUCUGGACGAU